RNAcentral lists this microRNA precursor (104 nucleotides) under Sorex araneus (European shrew). RNAcentral's name for it is "miRNA (ENSSARG00000016986.1)". Lineage: Eukaryota; Metazoa; Chordata; Mammalia; Eulipotyphla; Soricidae. The record is from RNAcentral.
ACUUGUGAGGAAAUAAAGGAAGUUAGGCUGAGGGGCAGAGAGCGAGACUUUUCUAUUUUCCAAAAGCUCGGUCUGAGAGCCCCUUCGUGUGCUGAGUAGCCCAC